UACGUAGGUGGCAAGCGUUGUCCGGAUUUAUUGGGUUUAAAGGGUGCGUAGGCGGUCUUUUAAGUCAGUGCUGAAAUACUCCAGCUUAACUGGAGGGGUGGCAUUGAUACUGGAAGACUUGAGUGCAGUCGAAGUAGGCGGAAUUGACGGUGUAGCGGUGAAAUGCUUAGAUAUCGUCAAGAACACCGAUAGUGAAGACAGCUUACUAGGCUGCAACUGACGCUGAGGCACGAAAGUGUGGGGAUCAAACAGG
Molecule: ribosomal RNA, 253 nt
Filed under: uncultured Ohtaekwangia sp.
Lineage: Bacteria; Pseudomonadati; Bacteroidota; Cytophagia; Cytophagales; Fulvivirgaceae
Description: partial 16S ribosomal RNA
Rfam family: Bacterial small subunit ribosomal RNA
Source: RNAcentral